RNAcentral lists this ribosomal RNA (510 nucleotides) under uncultured bacterium. Its description in RNAcentral is "partial 16S ribosomal RNA". It matches the Rfam family "Bacterial small subunit ribosomal RNA", at positions 28 to 507 of the family's 1533-position model. The record is from RNAcentral.
GACGAACGCUGGCGGCGUGCUUAACACAUGCAAGUCGAACGAAGAGCGAUGGAAGCUUGCUUCUAUCAAUCUUAGUGGCGCACGGGUGAGUAACGCGUAAUCAACCUGCCCUUCAGAGGGGGACAACAGUUGGAAACGACUGCUAAUGCCGCAUACGAUCUGACCUCGGCAUCGAGGAUAGAUGAAAGGUGGCCUCUAUUUAUAAGCUAUCACUGAAGGAGGGGAUUGCGUCUGAUUAGCUAGUUGGAGGGGUAACGGCCCACCAAGGCGAUGAUCAGUAGCCGGUCUGAGAGGAUGAACGGCCACAUUGGGACUGAGACACGGCCCAGACUCCUACGGGAGGCAGCAGUGGGGAAUCUUCCGCAAUGGACGAAAGUCUGACGGAGCAACGCCGCGUGAGUGAUGACGGCCUUCGGGUUGUAAAGCUCUGUUAAUCGGGACGAAAGGCCUUCUUGCGAAUAGUUAGAAGGAUUGACGGUACCGGAAUAGAAAGCCACGGCUAACUACGUG